UUUCAGUCCAAGAUCCCAAAAACAGAAGUAAAUAAAGAAAAGUGCCAGUAUUUAACCAAUUCAGCGCCAACCACCCAAAAGGCAAUAAGGCAUCUCCUGUGCCUUCAGCUCCCAAUAUAAAUAUAUUUAUAGAUAUGUAUAUAUAUCUAUCUCUCUAUAGAUAUAUAAAAUACAUGUCUGUGUGUUGCUCAAUAUUAAUUUUCUGACAAUAUAACAUAGUGUUGUACAUUAUAUAAACCAUGUUAAGAUAAUUGAAUAGGGGAGGGUCUCUGUUGGAAAAUUCAUAUUAAAAAUCAGUUGGCCCCCAAAAAAACAUUAAAAAAAUGGGACUGUAGGAAAUGAGAAAAAGGGCAUCUCACAUAUGUUGCCAUCACUAGGUAUCAAAGAUCCUUUACCUUAAUGUAUUCUCUGUGCAUGAAAAUUCUCUCACCCCAAUCUCUACCAAGAGUUUGUGAGACGCCCUCUUAUUCCACCAGAGGGAGCGUCACUGCCCCUACAACUUAUAGGAAUCCCUGUGUGUGAGACGCUCUCUUAUCGCAUCAGAGGGAGCGUCACUGACCCUAUAACUUAUAGGAAUCCCUGUGUGUGAGACGCUCUCUUAUCCCAUCAGAGGGGACGUCACUGACCCUAUAACUUAUAGGAAUCCCUGUGUGUAAGACGCUCUCUUAUCCCAUCAGAGGGGCGUCACUGACCCUAUAAUUUAUAGGAAUCCCUGUGUGUGAGACGCUCUCUUAUCCCAUCAGAGGGAGCGUCACUGACCCUAUAACUUAUAGGAAUCCCUGUGUGUGGGAUGCUCUCUUAUCCCAUCAGAGGGGGCGACACUGACCCUAUAACUUAUAGGAAUCCCUGUGUGUGAGACACUCACUUAUCCCAUCAGAGGGGACGUCACUGACCCUAUAACUUAUAGGAAUCCCUGUGUGUGAGACACUCACUUAUCCCAUCAGAGGGGGCGUCACUGACCCUAUAACUUAUAGGAAUCCCUGUGUGUGAGACGCUAUCUUAUCCCAUCAGACGGGGCGUCACUGACCCUAUAACUUACAGGAAUCCCUGUGUGUGAGACGCUCUCUUAUCCCAUCAGAGGGGGCGUCACUGACCCUAUAACUUAUAGGAAUCCCUGUGUGUGAGACGCUCUCUUAUCCCAUCAGAGGGGACGUCACUGACCCUAUAACUUAUAGGAAUCCCUGUGUGUGAGACGCUCUCUUAUCCCAUCAAAGGGGACGUCACUGACCAUAUAACUUAUAGGAAUCCCUGUGUGUGAGAUGCUCUCUUAUCCCAUCAGAGGGGCGUCACUGACCCUAUAACUUAUAGGAAUCCCUGUGUGUGAGGCGCCUCUCUUAUCCCAUCAGAGGGGAAGUCACUGACCCUAUAACUUAUAGGAAUCCCUGUGUGUGAGACGCUCUCUUAUCCCAUCAGAGGGGGCGUCACUGACCCUAUAACUUAUAGGAAUCCCUGUGUGUGAGACGC
This is a non-coding RNA of Pelobates cultripes (western spadefoot toad), 1464 nucleotides long. The record is from the annotation of a GenBank genome assembly. Lineage: Eukaryota; Metazoa; Chordata; Amphibia; Anura; Pelobatidae.